Canis lupus familiaris (dog) is the source of this 1255-nucleotide long non-coding RNA. RefSeq lists it as uncharacterized. NCBI's taxonomy places the organism in Eukaryota, Metazoa, Chordata, Mammalia, Carnivora, Canidae. The record is from RefSeq and is a predicted model, not a curated record. The transcript is spliced from 2 exons.
UGAGCCCAUCACAGGCCAGCAAGCUCCAUUCCCACACCACCCCAAGCAGAGGAGAACCCCCUCCCUGCAGGUGAUGGGAACUCUGAGCCAACGUACCAAUUUGAAUGCAAAUUUCCCCCAACUCAGGUUUGCUGACACCCAUGUUCCAGCGCAAGCUCCCCGCAGACCAGCAUGCAAAUGGUGGGCGCUGGGCUAGAAGAAGCUAUAAGAAGGGCGAGGGCGCGCGCAGACACGGACGUACCUAUUUUCCCAGCCUCCACUUUCAGGUUGAAAUCCCAGUUUCUUGGCAACUUCAGGGACAUUUUGCUCCCGCUCGGGCAUGCCCCAAUGAUGCUUGUCACCAUCACCCUCAUCACCAUUACUCUUGGAGCUGAUGUUUUCCACAAGGAUUCAUAACAACGCCCGAGGAGGCUGGAAGGACAACACACGAGCUGCCUCACUGACCAGCAUGGGACAAACGGGUGGCAGAGAAAGGGAGUUCAGUUUUCUGGAUCGUCCACAGUUGGAGCAUCUGAGCAGACUCCAGGAGAGCCACAGCAUGAGGGCCCACCUUUGCCAGGAGGUCUCUGUUCAGGAGACAAAGCCGGGGAGUCCUCUCUGGGCUGGGGUCCUUGUGCGGCCGGACAGUUCCCUAUGAUCCGUAGAUUCUUCCCUUACCAAGGACAAAGAGAAACUUGGCUGCUAGUGCUACCCAGGUGCUGUAGCUCAUGACGUUUUUAACAGAAUUAAUUGUAUAUUGGGGGAGAGACACAAGCAAAGAUGAAUCUAGAUUGAGCCUCUUGGUGGUAGAGCCUAAACAGAAGGGACUUUGCUUUUUACUAUUUAACCAAAAAAAAAAAAAAAAAAAAAAAAAAAAAGCUCAUGGAACGUAAAUAAAGAGGUGGCUGAGGCUGGGGCUCCAUCGCACCUGUCUCCCCUAGUCCUUGAGGAGUUGCUUGGUGAAAUCUUAAGGCCCUGACCAUGGCGGUGGUUCCAUGAGUCCCAUGUCUUUCUCCUUCCGUGGUGAGGGUGCAGUGGGCCGAGAAGGGAAAGCGAUGGGUGACAGAGUCCAUUUAAAAGUAUAACAAAACUAAAAACCACCUACUUUUUAAAAUCACCACCAUGCAUAGUAAUUCUAGAUAAUGCCUGUGCCAAACAGUCCUCCCUUUCGUUGGACCGCCUCCAGUCCCUGCCCUCCUGGUAGGUCCCCAUGACCCUGCUGGUAACAAGAACUCCCACCUCGUCCAGGGGGGAGAAUUUUCUCCUUGCUGUGGAA